This 1463-nucleotide ribosomal RNA is filed under the name human gut metagenome. RNAcentral's name for it is "bacterial LSU rRNA". It matches the Rfam family "Bacterial large subunit ribosomal RNA", at positions 849 to 2298 of the family's 2925-position model. The record is from RNAcentral.
CUGGUUCUCCCCGAAAUAGCUUUAGGGCUAGCCUCGAGGUAGAGAUUGCAGGCGGUAGAGCACUGAUCAGGAGAGGGGCCUACCCGGCUACCAAACCCAGUCAAACUACGAAUGGCUGCAAUUAUACUCGGGAGUCAGACUACGACUUAUAAGGGCCGUGGUCAAAAGGGAAACAGCCCAGAUCAUCAGCUAAGGUCCCAAAUGCCGUGCUAAGUGGCGAAGGAUGUGGCGUUUCAUAAACAACCAGGAUGUUGGCUCAGAAGCAGCCACCAUUUAAAGAGUGCGUAAUAGCUCACUGGUCGAGAGACGCUGCGCCGAAAAUGUCCGGGGCUCAAGCACGGAACCGAAGCUAUGGCAUUGACUAUGUCAAUGGGUAGGGGAGCGUUCUUAACAGGAAGAAGCAUGACCGAAAGGACAUGUGGACCGUUAAGAAGUGAGAAUGCCGGUAUGAGUAUCGAAAAGAAAGGUGAGAAUCCUUUCCACCGAAAGCCCGAGGGUUCCUGAGCAACGAUCGUCGUCUCAGGGUAAGUCGGGACCUAAGCCGAGGCGGAAAAGCGUAGGCGAUGGACAACAGGUUGAAAUUCCUGUACCGGAUACAAUCGUUUGAGCGAUGGAGCGACGCAGAAAGGCAUAUGAUCGCGCGACUGGAAGAGCGCGUCCAAGUGCGUAUGUUGAAUCGGAGGCAAAUCCCUGAUUCUGAAAGCAGAGACACGAUGGGGAGUUAUACGAAAGUAUGACGAACUCAUAGAUCCUACACUGCCAAGAAAAACUUCUAGUGAGAAAGUAUCCGCCCGUACCGUAAACCGACACAGGUAGGCGGGGAGAGAAUCCUAAGGUGCGCGGGAAAACCCUCGUUAAGGAACUCGGCAAAUUGCAUCCGUAACUUAGGGAGAAGGAUGACCUUAAGUAAGCGAAAGGGAGAAACCCCUGGAACAGAACAAGGUGGCAGAAAAGAGGCCCAAGCAACUGUUUACCAAAAACACAGGUGCCUGCGAAAGCGAAAGCUGAAGUAUAGGUGCUGACGCCUGCCCGGUGCUGGAAGGUUAAGGAGAGAUGUCAGAGCAAUCGAAGCAUUGAACUGAAGCCCCAGUGAACGGCGGCCGUAACUAUAACGGUCCUAAGGUAGCGAAAUUCCUUGUCGGGUAAGUUCCGACCCGCAUGAAAGGCGUAAUGAUUUGGGCACUGUCUCAACGAGGGGCCCGGUGAAAUUGAAAUACCUGUGAAGAUGCAGGUUACCCGCGACUGGACAGAAAGACCCCAUGGAGCUUCACUGCAGCUUGAGAUUGAAUCUCGGUGAUGCAUGCACAGGAUAGGUGGGAGACUUUGAAGUAUGGGCUUUGGCUUAUACCGAGUCGAUGUUGGGAUACCACCCUUGUAUUGCUGAGAUUCUAACACGGAGGCUAACAACCUCGUGGACCAUCUCAGGUAGGCGGUUUGACUGGGGCGGUCGCCUCCGAAAGAGU